This is a long non-coding RNA of Herpailurus yagouaroundi (jaguarundi), 908 nucleotides long. RefSeq lists it as uncharacterized. The record is from RefSeq and is a predicted model, not a curated record. The transcript has 6 exons. Lineage: Eukaryota; Metazoa; Chordata; Mammalia; Carnivora; Felidae.
UUGGGGAAAAGGUCAGCACUUAUUUACCAUUUCCCUCAACACACCUUACACAGUGUUGGUGCAAGGAAGGAAAACUGCAGUUAUUAUGCAGUGUAUUGGCUCCCUUUGGUUGAAGACGCUGAAUUACCUGGAGGGAAAACAAUCCUGCUUGAGAUAAAGCUACAGAAGAGGAAUAGGAACGACCUGGGAGCCACUGGGAACCAAUGUCAGGCCAUGACGACAGGAGGUUGCUAUGAACGGAGACCACCCUAAGAGGCAGAACUGAGAAGGAGAGAGACUCGGACUCUGGUCACAGCAUUUGAACUGCCAAAGCAAGCUUCUUUGAAAGGAUAAAAGAAAGAGCAAGAUGGAAAUGAAACAAAUAUGCGUGUCAGAACUUCACUCAUUCGUUGAUGAUGUUUUAUAGCAUGUAACUGUGUUAAGGAAGAUUGAUAAACCUAAUAAACUUAUAUAUAAACCUAUCAGUAAAGGAUUAUAGAGAGGAAAUUCAACUUCACUCUGGAGUACUUGUUAUAUCUCUUCCGGAACUUCAAGUUACAGCAUGUUAUGACUGUGAAGCAUCUCCUCAGUGGUUUUUUGCUUCUUAAUAUGAAAGACUGCCAUCAAUGAAGCUCAGUAUUUUAGAGAAUUGUGGUUUAAGUGUUGAGUUUCCCGUCUUACUCAACUUCAUAAUUCAGUAAAUGUCUCAUGGGGAAAAUUCACCCUGUGUUUGAUGCCUUUAUAUUUACAAUCUUUCACUCUAGAUGCAUCCUUCUCCUGUGGCAAAACCUGGAUUCUUCUCCACUAGCUACAUUCAAGAUUAGCCAAGGCUCCAGGAAUAAUGUUACAGAGGGUCAAAAUACUGUUUCCAAAGAAUAACUAUUGCUGCAUAAUAAAUUACCCCAAACGGAUCAGCUAAAACCAACAUA